GCACAAGCGGUGGAGCAUGUGGUUUAAUUCGACGCAACGCGAAGAACCUUACCAGGGCUUGACAUCCCCUGACCGCGUAUGAAAGUACGUUUUCACCCUCGGGUGACAGGGAGACAGGUGGUGCAUGGUUGUCGUCAGCUCGUGUCGUGAGAUGUUGGGUUAAGUCCCGCAACGAGCGCAACCCCUACGUUUAGUUGCUAACGCGUGAAGGCGAGCACUCUAGACGAACUGCCGUUGACAAAACGGAGGAAGGUGGGAUGACGUCAAAUCAUCAUGCCCCUUAUGUUCUGGGCUACACACGUGCUACAAUGGCCGGUACAGACGGACGCAAAGCCGCGAGGUGGAGCAAAUCCUAAAAAGCCGGUCUCAGUUCGGAUUGCAGGCUGCAAUUCGCCUGCAUGAAGUCGGAAUCGCUAGUAAUCGCAGGCCAGCAUACUGCGGUGAAUACGUUCCCGGGCCUU
This 461-nucleotide ribosomal RNA is filed under the name uncultured Pelotomaculum sp. RNAcentral's name for it is "bacterial SSU rRNA". It matches the Rfam family "Bacterial small subunit ribosomal RNA", at positions 923 to 1382 of the family's 1533-position model. Lineage: Bacteria; Bacillati; Bacillota; Clostridia; Eubacteriales; Desulfotomaculaceae. The record is from RNAcentral.